AGUGAACGCUGGCGGUAGGCCUAACACAUGCAAGUCGAACGGCAGCACAGUAAGAGCUUGCUCUUACGGGUGGCGAGUGGCGGACGGGUGAGGAAUACAUCGGAAUCUACUUUUUCGUGGGGGAUAACGUAGGGAAACUUACGCUAAUACCGCAUACGACCUACGGGUGAAAGCAGGGGAUCUUCGGACCUUGCGCGAUUGAAUGAGCCGAUGUCGGAUUAGCUAGUUGGCGGGGUAAAGGCCCACCAAGGCGACGAUCCGUAGCUGGUCUGAGAGGAUGAUCAGCCACACUGGAACUGAGACACGGUCCAGACUCCUACGGGAGGCAGCAGUGGGGAAUAUUGGACAAGGGGGGAGAGCCUGAUCCAGCCAUACCGCGUGGGUGAAGAAGGCCUUCGGGUUGUAAAGCCCUUUUGUUGGGAAAGAAAAGCAGCAGGUUAAUACCCCGCUGUUCUGACGGUACCCAAAGAAUAAGCACCGGCUAACUUCGUG
Molecule: ribosomal RNA, 492 nt
Filed under: uncultured bacterium
Lineage: Bacteria
Description: partial 16S ribosomal RNA
Rfam family: Bacterial small subunit ribosomal RNA
Source: RNAcentral